CCCUUAGAUGUUCUGGGCUGCACGCGCGCUACACUGAUGCACUCAACGAGUUUACGACCUUGCCCGAUUGGGUUGGGUAAUCUUUUUAAAAUGCAUCGUGAUGGGGAUAGAUUAUUGCAAUUAUUAAUCUUCAACGAGGAAUUCCUAGUAAGCGCGAGUCAUCAGCUCGUGCUGAUUACGUCCCUGCCCUUUGUACACACCGCCCGUCGCUCCUACCGAUUGAGUGCUCAGGUGAAUAAUUCGGACUGCAGCAAUGUUUGGAUCCCGAACGUUGCAGCGGAAAGUUUAGUGAACCUUAUCACUUAGAGGAAGGAGAAGUCGUAACA
This 326-nucleotide ribosomal RNA is filed under the name uncultured eukaryote. RNAcentral describes it as "partial 18S ribosomal RNA". It matches the Rfam family "Eukaryotic small subunit ribosomal RNA", at positions 1470 to 1796 of the family's 1831-position model. The record is from RNAcentral.